This 253-nucleotide ribosomal RNA is filed under the name uncultured bacterium. RNAcentral's name for it is "partial 16S ribosomal RNA". It matches the Rfam family "Bacterial small subunit ribosomal RNA", at positions 524 to 776 of the family's 1533-position model. The record is from RNAcentral.
UACGUAGGGUGCGAGCGUUGUCCGGAAUUACUGGGCGUAAAGAGCUCGUAGGUGGUUUGUCGCGUUGUUCGUGAAAACCGGGGGCUUAACCCUCGGCGUGCGGGCGAUACGGGCAGACUUGAGUACUGCAGGGGAGACUGGAAUUCCUGGUGUAGCGGUGGAAUGCGCAGAUAUCAGGAGGAACACCGGUGGCGAAGGCGGCACUCCGGGCCGGAACUGACGCUGAGGAGCGAAAGCGUGGGGAGCGAACAGG